CGUCAAGGACGGAGCUUCGACCAAGAAAUUUGAAGCUGUCGUUUGGGAGAAGCCAUGGGAGCAUUUCAAAAGUCUCACCUCGUUUAAACCUAUGCCUGGGGGAUGGACUCCGAUAGACCCCACGGAGAAGCACGUGAUGGUGAUCGUGCAGUUCGCGGUGACAGAGUACAACAAACGGUCAAAGAGCGCGUUGAAGUUCGAGAGCGUGGAGAAGGCCGAGACUCAGGUGGUUUCCGGCACCAAUUACCGGCUGAUCUUGGUCGUCAAGGACGGACUUUCGACCAAGAAAUUUGAAGCUGUCGUUUGGGAGAAGCCAUGGGAGCAUUUCAAAAGUCUCACCUCGUUUAAACCUAUGCCUGGGGGAUGGACUCCGAUAGACCCCACGGAGAAGCACGUGAUGGAGAUCGGGCAGUUCGCGGUGACAGAGUACAACAAACGGUCAAAGAGCGCGUUGAAGUUCGAGAGCGUGGAGAAGGCCUGGACUCAGGUGGUUUCCGGCACCAAUUACCGGCUGAUCUUGGUCGUCAAGGACGGACCUUCGACCAAGAAAUUUGAAGCUGUCGUUUGGGAGAAGCCAUGGGAGCAUUUCAAGAGUCUCACCUCGUUUAAGCCUAUGCCUGGGGGAUGGACUCCGAUAGACCCCACGGAGAAGCACGUGAUGGAGAUCGGGCAGUUCGCGGUGACAGAGUACAACAAACGGUCAAAGAGCGCGUUGAAGUUCGAGAGCGUGGAGAAGGCCGAGACUCAGGUGGUUUCCGGCACCAAUUACCGGCUGAUCUUGGUCGUCAAGGACGGACCUUCGACUAAGAAAUUUGAAGCUGUCGAUUGGGAGAAGCCAUGGGAGCAUUUCAAGAGUCUCACAUCGUUUAAGCCUAUAUUUGGGGGAUGGACUCCGAUAGACCCCACGGAGAAGCACGUGAUGGAGAUCGGGCAGUUCGCGGUGACAGAGUACAACAAACGGUCAAAGAGCGCGUUGAAGUUCGAGAGCGUGGAGAAGGCCGAGACUCAGGUGGUUUCCGGCACCAAUUACCGGCUGAUCUUGGUCGUCAAGGACGGACCUUCGACCAAGAAAUUUGNNN
RNAcentral lists this long non-coding RNA (1079 nucleotides) under Citrus sinensis (sweet orange). RNAcentral describes it as "long non-coding RNA (CSIN_LNC001385)". The record is from RNAcentral. Lineage: Eukaryota; Viridiplantae; Streptophyta; Magnoliopsida; Sapindales; Rutaceae.